RNAcentral lists this ribosomal RNA (114 nucleotides) under uncultured bacterium. Its description in RNAcentral is "partial 16S ribosomal RNA". It matches the Rfam family "Bacterial small subunit ribosomal RNA", at positions 1369 to 1482 of the family's 1533-position model. The record is from RNAcentral.
CGUUCCCGGGCCUUGUACACACCGCCCGUUACACCAUGGGAGUUGGUUUUACCCGAAGACGGUGCGCUAACCGCAAGGAGGCAGCCGGCCACGGUAAGGUCAGCGACUGGGGUG